Acanthosepion pharaonis is the source of this 96-nucleotide non-coding RNA. Lineage: Eukaryota; Metazoa; Mollusca; Cephalopoda; Sepiida; Sepiidae. The record is from the annotation of a GenBank genome assembly.
CUGAAAUAUCGGUUCUCAUAUGAUCACCGAAGUUAAGCAACAUCGAGCCUGGUCAGUACCAAUAUGGGUGACCGCCUAGGAAUAUAAAGUGCUGUA